UCUAAUUUACUUUUCAUUGCUUAU
RNAcentral lists this non-coding RNA (24 nucleotides) under Arabidopsis thaliana (thale cress). Lineage: Eukaryota; Viridiplantae; Streptophyta; Magnoliopsida; Brassicales; Brassicaceae. The record is from RNAcentral.